This 465-nucleotide ribosomal RNA is filed under the name uncultured bacterium. Its description in RNAcentral is "partial 16S ribosomal RNA". It matches the Rfam family "Bacterial small subunit ribosomal RNA", at positions 28 to 507 of the family's 1533-position model. The record is from RNAcentral.
GAUGAACGCUGGCGGCGUGCUUAACACAUGCAAGUCGAACGGAAAGGCCACAGCUUGCUGUGGUACUCGAGUGGCGAACGGGUGAGUAACACGUGGGUGAUCUGCCCUGUACUUCGGGAUAAGCUUGGGAAACUGGGUCUAAUACCGGAUAGGAAUCACAUGUGGGUGUGUGGUUGGAAAGCUUUUGCGGUAUGGAUGAGCUCGCGGCCUAUCAGCUUGUUGGUGGGGUAAUGGCCUACCAAGGCGUCGACGGGUAGCCGGCCUGAGAGGGUGUACGGCCACAUUGGGGCUGAGAUACGGCCCAGACUCCUACGGGAGGCAGCAGUGGGGAAUAUUGCACAAUGGGCGCAAGCCUGAUGCAGCGACGCCGCGUGGGGGAUGACGGCCUUCGGGUUGUAAACUCCUUUCGUCAGGGACGAAGCGAAAGUGACGGUACCUGGAUAAGAAGCACCGGCUAACUACGUG